This 133-nucleotide small nucleolar RNA is filed under the name Echinops telfairi (small Madagascar hedgehog). RNAcentral's name for it is "Small nucleolar RNA SNORA71 (ENSETEG00000023383.1)". It matches the Rfam family "Small nucleolar RNA SNORA71". Rfam says of the family: The members of this family belong to the H/ACA class of snoRNAs which bind a number of proteins (including dyskerin, Gar1p and Nop10p) to form snoRNP complexes. The record is from RNAcentral. Lineage: Eukaryota; Metazoa; Chordata; Mammalia; Afrosoricida; Tenrecidae.
ACCUGCUUUCAAAGUGGCUCGGACUGCCCGUGUCCUGGUCGUCAACCAUGCAGGGAGAGCGAUUGCGGACAGCCGUUUCCCGUGUUUGGAGGGUGCAGCAUGCCUGUCCCUGCAAAUGCUGGGCUUUCACACA